GGGGUUGUGGCUCAGUGGUAGAGUACUCACCUAGCAUGGUGAGGCCCUGGGUUUGAUCCUCAGCACCACA
This 70-nucleotide transfer RNA is filed under the name Marmota monax (woodchuck). Its description in RNAcentral is "tRNA.Ala". The record is from RNAcentral. Lineage: Eukaryota; Metazoa; Chordata; Mammalia; Rodentia; Sciuridae.